CCCCAGCGAGCCCUGGAAGCCCCCCCUCCACUACACGAACGAGGGAGCCUCAUGUGCCACUAGCACACAUUCAGUCUCUGUUGCGUGACAUUUUAGAAGGCUGCGCCGACAUGCACGCGCGAGGUAUCAU
Molecule: non-coding RNA, 130 nt
Filed under: Platyophrya macrostoma
Lineage: Eukaryota; Ciliophora; Colpodea; Cyrtolophosidida; Platyophryidae
Source: RNAcentral